This 629-nucleotide long non-coding RNA is filed under the name Solanum lycopersicum (tomato). RNAcentral describes it as "partial TCONS_00126331". The record is from RNAcentral. Lineage: Eukaryota; Viridiplantae; Streptophyta; Magnoliopsida; Solanales; Solanaceae.
AUUUAUUUUAUUUUAUGUAGUGAAAAGGGCAAAAUGGUUAAGUGAUUAUCAGAACUCCAUAAGCAAAUCUAAAGAAUCUUGAAAUUCCGAUCAGUCUUGUUGUUUUCCGGCAGGAUUUGGUUGCAAAAGCCCAAUUGCUUCUUCUUCGAGUAUUUGGAAUCUAGAAGAGUGUGCGUCUGGUUUGAGAGCUUAAUGGCAUCCGUUGCGUUUUUAUCUAUUUUUGGGUGUUCGAUAAAUAUAGAUUUAAUGGAGAUAUUCUGCUUACAUUUAGUUUUAAAGUUUUUAUUUGGAUUAUACGUUUUUUAUCACGUUAAAAACAGUUAUUAAUUGAUAACACCGAUGUAAUAAGCUCAGAUUGAUGAACUAAAAACAAACAAACAAACUUACAUUACAUAAAAUCAUCAAUUAAUGAUCACAUUUUGAAAUAGAGAAAAUGUUCGAAUGCCCCCGCUAAUUUAUAUUCAAAUUUUCAACUAUACAUUUAUAUUUUAUAGGUGUCCUAUUAUCCCCUUAAACUAUUUUAAAGCGAAAUAAAUGCACUCCUAAGUGCUCACAUGACACAGAUUAUUAAAAUACUUUUUCAUAAUUUGUAUCACUAUUACUGACAACCGUUAACCAUCAAAUAUCAC